CAACGCAUGAUGCCAGCUUGCUGGUGGAUUAGUGGCGAACGGGUGAGUAACACGUGAGUAACCUGCCCUUAACUCUGGGAUAAGCCUGGGAAACUGGGUCUAAUACCGGAUAUGACUCCUCAUCGCAUGGUGGGGGGUGGAAAGCUUUAUUGUGGUUUUGGAUGGACUCGCGGCCUAUCAGCUUGUUGGUGAGGUAAUGGCUCACCAAGGCGACGACGGGUAGCCGGCCUGAGAGGGUGACCGGCCACACUGGGACUGAGACACGGCCCAGACUCCUACGGGAGGCAGCAGUGGGGAAUAUUGCACAAUGGGCGCAAGCCUGAUGCAGCGACGCCGCGUGAGGGAUGACGGCCUUCGGGUUGUAAACCUCUUUCAGUAGGGAAGAAGCGAAAGUGACGGUACCUGCAGAAGAAGCGCCGGCUAACUACGUGCCAGCAGCCGCGGUAAUACGUAGGGCGCAAGCGUUAUCCGGAAUUAUUGGGCGUAAAGAGCUCGUAGGCGGUUUGUCGCGUCUGCCGUGAAAGUCCGGGGCUCAACUCCGGAUCUGCGGUGGGUACGGGCAGACUAGAGUGAUGUAGGGGAGACUGGAAUUCCUGGUGUAGCGGUGAAAUGCGCAGAUAUCAGGAGGAACACCGAUGGCGAAGGCAGGUCUCUGGGCAUUAACUGACGCUGAGGAGCGAAAGCAUGGGGAGCGAACAGGAUUAGAUACCCUGGUAGUCCAUGCCG
This 726-nucleotide ribosomal RNA is filed under the name Arthrobacter sp. M-15-371. RNAcentral's name for it is "bacterial SSU rRNA". It matches the Rfam family "Bacterial small subunit ribosomal RNA", at positions 64 to 802 of the family's 1533-position model. Lineage: Bacteria; Bacillati; Actinomycetota; Actinomycetes; Micrococcales; Micrococcaceae. The record is from RNAcentral.